This 809-nucleotide ribosomal RNA is filed under the name Acaulospora kentinensis. RNAcentral's name for it is "eukaryotic LSU rRNA". It matches the Rfam family "Eukaryotic large subunit ribosomal RNA", at positions 1 to 694 of the family's 3401-position model. The record is from RNAcentral. Lineage: Eukaryota; Fungi; Glomeromycota; Glomeromycetes; Diversisporales; Acaulosporaceae.
ACCUCAAGUCAAGUAAGAGUACCCGCUGAACUUAAGCAUAUCAAUAAGCGGAGGAAAAGAAACUAACAAGGAUUUCCUUAGUAACGGCGAGUGAAGUGGGAAAAGCUCAAAUUUUAAAUCACCAAGGUUUCUUUGGUGAAUUGUAAUUUGAAGAAAGUCGUUUUGAUAUUCGGGUUUUAUCCAAGUCCUUUGGGAUAAGGUAUCAUAGAGGGUGAGAAUCCCGUUCAUGAUUAAACCUUGAUGUCACUUAAUUCACUUUCUAAGAGUCGAGUUGUUUGGGAUUGCAGCUCAAAAUGGGUGGUAAAUUUCACCUAAGGCUAAAUAUAUGCAAGAGACCGAUAGCGAACAAGUACCGUGAGGGAAAGAUGAAAAGAACUUUGAAAAGAGAGUUAAAUAGUACGUGAAAUUGUUGAAAGGGAAACGAUUGAAGUCAGUCAUGCUAGUAGGGAAUCAACUUGAUGGAUCGUAGGACUUAUCUUAUGAUCUUUCUUGUGCACUUUCUUGCUUGGCAGGUUAGCAUCAAUUUCGAGUAUCAUUAAAAAAUCGAGGGAAUGUAGCUUUCUUUCGGGAAAGUGUUAUAGACCUUGAUAAAAUGUGGUGACCGAGAUUGAGGAUUGCAGCGGAUACCUCUUAAGGCUAGUCACCUUGCUUCUGACGGUUACCCUGCUUUCGAGAGCUCGCUCACGAUUGUGGGAUUCAACAGUCUAGAUGUUAGAGUGAUCUUAAAUUCGCUAAGGAUGCUGACGUAAUGGCUUUAAACGACCCGUCUUGAAACACGGACCAAGGAGUCUAACAUAUGUGCGAGUGUU